UAAACAUAAUCUGAAAAGUUGUUUAGAUAGGUUGGGUUACCUUUAAACGUUGUGGUCUCAGUGCCUUAAGGAUUUCGUGUUUCCCAGCUUUCGCUCUGAGUAAAGAACAAAUGAUAACUAUUGUGGGAACAAUCUUCCUGCCCUAGGUAGACUGAGUUUAACUGAAGGAUUAACCAAAAAUAAGUAACAGGUGCAGUAAGGGUUAUUAGCUCUGAAAUCUCGGAGCAGUCUAGUUUUUUUUAUCGUUUUAAAGGUUUUGUUUGUUUGGGGUUUUGCCGUAGGCCAUGUGCACUCUCCAGGCAGGCCCCAGCUCCCGCGUGACGUGACUGCUGUUGCCGUGCCUGGCCGGUGAAAGCAGUCCAGGAGACGACCCUCCCCGAGCCUGUCCACGUGGCCUACUCCUGCGCCAGCUCACGGAGGGCGGUCACAGCCCUCCUGGCCACUCGCUCUGGUUGUCUCUGACGUUGCCCCUGGGGAAGGGCUGCAGAGGCGGGCCUCACCGUGGGAAGCCAGCACCUUCUCAGCUGAGCUCGCCAGGCCGGGCAGGCCGAGUGCCCCUGCCCAGAGCUUGCCUGGUGCACCCCAGCAGGUCGGCCGCAGAACGCUCGCACCUCCCCUCCUGACGAGGCCUGCGGGAGUGUGACUUGCAGGGAGGUCUCCAGACAGACCGUCCACCACAGAACUCCCAAAAGACAAGGAUGUGAAAGCGCAAGGUACAGGCUGGGGGCGAGGAGCAAAGGCAGAAACAAAGCGAUGGUUCAGAAACAUACUUUCACCUCCUCUUUGCAAGGCGACUGUUUCUCAGAAGACCGAAGGCUUGUUCUCUGGAGAAGCUGAAUCUGAUAGGACGCGGGAGGGUGACAGUGAUACUUGUUACGUCGAAGACAGCAUGAUAAGAAGAAUGUCUGAUACGUGUUACGUCGAAGACAGAAUGAUAAGAAGAAUGUCUGAUACGUGUUACGUCGACGACAGAAUGAUGAGAAGAAUGCCCGGUCUCUGGACACCGUGGGGACCCUCCAGUUCAUUUUUUCCACCCAGCUACAAAAUCUGGUAACAGAGCUUAUGCCUGGCCCUGCACAACCACCUGAAAAAAAGCAGUGAACAAAAUA
Long non-coding RNA from Tupaia belangeri chinensis (Chinese tree shrew), 1109 nucleotides. RefSeq lists it as uncharacterized. Lineage: Eukaryota; Metazoa; Chordata; Mammalia; Scandentia; Tupaiidae. The record is from RefSeq and is a predicted model, not a curated record. The transcript has 2 exons.